UGGAUCGAAGAUGACCACUGGUGGCGUGUGAGUCAUAUAUGAUGUAUACGUGUCUGGAACUCUGAGAUCCCA
RNAcentral lists this small nucleolar RNA (72 nucleotides) under Carlito syrichta (Philippine tarsier). RNAcentral describes it as "Small nucleolar RNA SNORD113/SNORD114 family (ENSTSYG00000037132.1)". It matches the Rfam family "Small nucleolar RNA SNORD113/SNORD114 family". From Rfam's summary of the family: The imprinted human domain at 14q32 contains two clusters of tandemly repeated small nucleolar RNAs named 14q(I) and 14q(II) snoRNAs. These two clusters are named SNORD113 and SNORD114 respectively in the HGNC approved gene symbol nomenclature. The record is from Rfam by way of RNAcentral. Lineage: Eukaryota; Metazoa; Chordata; Mammalia; Primates; Tarsiidae.